CUUCCGUAGGGUGAACCUGCGGAGGGAUCAUUACUGAGUUACCGCUCUAUAACCCUUUGUGAACAUACCUACAACUGUUGCUUCGGCGGGUAGGCCGUCCCCUGAAAAGGACGCCUCCCGGCCGGGACCGGACCCCCUGUGGGGCCGGACCCGGCGCCCGCCGGAGGAUAACCAAACGCUAUUUUAACGACGUUUCUUCUGAGUGGCAUAAGCAAAAUAAUCAAAACUUUUAACAACGGAUCUCUUGGUUCUGGCAUCGAUGAAGAACGCAGCGAAAUGCGAUAAGUAAUGUGAAUUGCAGAAUUCAGUGAAUCAUCGAAUCUUUGAACGCACAUUGCGCCCGCCAGCAUUCUGGCGGGCAUGCCUGUUCGAGCGUCAUUUCAACCCUCAAGCUCUGCUUGGUGUUGGGGCUCUACGGUCGACGUAGGCCCUCAAAGGUAGUGGCGGACCCUCCCGGAGCCUCCUUUGCGUAGUAACAUUUCGUCUCGCACUGGGAUCCGGAGGGACUCUUGCCGUAAAACCCCCCAAUUUUUCAAGGUUGACCUCGGAUCAGGUAGGAAUACCCGCUGAACUUAAGCAUAUCAAUAAGGCGG
Molecule: ribosomal RNA, 593 nt
Filed under: Colletotrichum boninense
Lineage: Eukaryota; Fungi; Ascomycota; Sordariomycetes; Glomerellales; Glomerellaceae
Description: eukaryotic LSU rRNA
Rfam family: 5.8S ribosomal RNA (bases 225-378)
Source: RNAcentral